This 716-nucleotide ribosomal RNA is filed under the name Streptococcus intermedius. Its description in RNAcentral is "bacterial SSU rRNA". It matches the Rfam family "Bacterial small subunit ribosomal RNA", at positions 371 to 1077 of the family's 1533-position model. Lineage: Bacteria; Bacillati; Bacillota; Bacilli; Lactobacillales; Streptococcaceae. The record is from RNAcentral.
AUGGGGGGAACCCUGACCGAGCAACGCCGCGUGAGUGAAGAAGGUUUUCGGAUCGUAAAGCUCUGUUGUUAAGGAAGAACGUGUGUGAGAGUGGAAAGUUCACACAGUGACGGUACUUAACCAGAAAGGGACGGCUAACUACGUGCCAGCAGCCGCGGUAAUACGUAGGUCCCGAGCGUUGUCCGGAUUUAUUGGGCGUAAAGCGAGCGCAGGCGGUUAGAUAAGUCUGAAGUGAAAGGCAGUGGCUCAACCAUUGUAGGCUUUGGAAACUGUUUAACUUGAGUGCAGAAGGGGAGAGUGGAAUUCCAUGUGUAGCGGUGAAAUGCGUAGAUAUAUGGAGGAACACCGGUGGCGAAAGCGGCUCUCCGGUCUGUAACUGACGCUGAGGCUCGAAAGCGUGGGGAGCGAACAGGAUUAGAUACCCUGGUAGUCCACGCCGUAAACGAUGAGUGCUAGGUGUUAGGUCCUUUCCGGGACUUAGUGCCGCAGCUAACGCAUUAAGCACUCCGCCUGGGGAGUACGACCGCAAGGUUGAAACUCAAAGGAAUUGACGGGGGCCCGCACAAGCGGUGGAGCAUGUGGUUUAAUUCGAAGCAACGCGAAGAACCUUACCAGGUCUUGACAUCCCGAUGCCCGCUCUAGAGAUAGAGCUUUACUUCGGUACAUCGGUGACAGGUGGUGCAUGGGUUGUCGUCAGCUCGUGUCGUGAGAUGUGG